This 852-nucleotide ribosomal RNA is filed under the name Leptaxis sanctaemariae. Its description in RNAcentral is "partial 16S ribosomal RNA". The record is from RNAcentral. Lineage: Eukaryota; Metazoa; Mollusca; Gastropoda; Stylommatophora; Hygromiidae.
AAUAAUUAAUAAUAUAAUAUAUAUUAUAUCACGAAGUAAGGUGAGCUAAAAGAAAUUCUAUACUAGUUGAUUUUUCUAUAUGUAGCAAUAUAUAACUAUUAUUUCCUUUUAGGAGCGAUAUACUAAUCAAAUCUUUCGAUAACUUGAUAUAUAAGAAAAAUAUUAAGUAUUUAAUCAAAUUAAAAAUGCUAAGGUUUUUAAAAAAAUAUGAUAUUUUAUAUAUAAUAUGCAUAUUAUAUAAUUAUAUAUGCCUUAUAGAUUUAAUAAUUAAUUUAAAAAAUUAUAUAUUCAAUAUUAUAUUAUAACAAAUAAUUAUAAUAGUUAUAAAUAAUGUUAUUAUUAGUAUUAAAAUAGAUUUUGUUAAGGAACUCGGCAAGAUAUUAUUCAACUGUUUAUCAAAAACAUUGCCUUGUGUAAUUAUUCAAGGUUAACCCUGCUCAAUGGAUUACUAAAUAGCCGCAGUACUUUGACUGUGCAAAGGUAGCAUAAUCAUUUGGCUUAUAAUUGAAGUCUGGUAUGAAUGGGUAAAUGGAUAAUAACUAUCUCUCCAUAAUAAACUGAAUUUACUUAUUAAGUGAAAAUUCUUAUAUAAAAAUAAUAGACGAGAAGACCCUAGAAAUUUUUUAAAUAUAUAUUAAGAUAUUCUAUUUUGUUGGGGCGACAAGGUAGCAAUGAACCUACCUAUAAAAUAUAAAAAAUUAAUGAGAUAAAUAAUUAAAUUACUCUAGGGAUAACAGCAUAAUGUAUAAGAGUUUGUGACCUCGAUGUUGGACUAGGUAAAUUAAUGUUUAAAAGAUAUUAGUUAAAGCUCUGUUCGAGCUGUUAAACCUACAUGAUCUGAGUUCAGACCGG